RNAcentral lists this transfer RNA (72 nucleotides) under Marmota marmota marmota (Alpine marmot). It matches the Rfam family "tRNA". From Rfam's summary of the family: Transfer RNA (tRNA) molecules are approximately 80 nucleotides in length. Their secondary structure includes four short double-helical elements and three loops (D, anti-codon, and T loops). The record is from Rfam by way of RNAcentral. RNAcentral also lists the same sequence under 1 other name. Lineage: Eukaryota; Metazoa; Chordata; Mammalia; Rodentia; Sciuridae.
UCUGAUGUGACUCAGUGUUAGAGUGCUUGCCUGGCAUGUCUGGAGCCCUGGGUUAGAUCCCCAGCAACACAC